AUUGCCUACGGGACGCAGCAGUCGAGAAUCAUUCACAAUGGGGGAAACCCUGAUGGUGCGACGCCGCGUGGGGGAAUGAAGGUCUUCGGAUUGUAAACCCCUGUCAUGUGGGAGCAAAUUAAAAAGAUAGUACCACAAGAGGAAGAGACGGCUAACUCUGUGCCAGCAGCCGCGGUAAUACAGAGGUCUCAAGCGUUGUUCGGAAUCACUGGGCGUAAAGCGUGCGUAGGCUGUUUCGUAAGUCGUGUGUGAAAGGCGCGGGCUCAACCCGGGGACGGCACAUGCUAUU
Molecule: ribosomal RNA, 289 nt
Filed under: uncultured bacterium
Lineage: Bacteria
Description: partial 16S ribosomal RNA
Rfam family: Bacterial small subunit ribosomal RNA
Source: RNAcentral